Nannospalax galili (Upper Galilee mountains blind mole rat) is the source of this 106-nucleotide long non-coding RNA. RefSeq lists it as uncharacterized. NCBI's taxonomy places the organism in Eukaryota, Metazoa, Chordata, Mammalia, Rodentia, Spalacidae. The transcript is spliced from 3 exons. The record is from RefSeq and is a predicted model, not a curated record.
UCCUCUUCCUCAAAUAUGUCUUUUUUUAUUUGUUGAUUUUUUUUGUGUGUAUAUCAUACAGAACAUCCCACACAAUCCCACAAAUUUUCAUCCUCCAUCAAGCCAA